CCUACGGGUGGCAGCAGUCGAGAAUCAUUCACAAUGGGGGAAACCCUGAUGCUGCGACGCCGCGUGGGGGAAUGAAGGUCUUCGGAUUGUAAACCCCUGUCAUGUGGGAGCAAAUUAAAAAGAUAGUACCCCAAGGGGAGGAUACGGCUAACGCGGUGCCAGCAGCCGCGGUAAUACAGCGGUCUCAAGCGUUGUUCGGAAUCACUGGGCGUAACGGGUGCGUAGGCUGUUUGGUAAGUCGGGUGUGAAAGGCGCGGGCUCAACCCGCGGACGGCACAUGAUACUGGGGGACUAGAUUACGGGAGGGGGAAACGGAAGUCUCGGUGUAGCAGUGAAAUGCGUAGAUAUCGAGAGGAACACUGGUGGCGAAGGCGGGUUCCUGGACCGUAACUGACGCUGAGGCACGAAGGCCAGGGGAGCGAAAGGGAUUAGAUACCCGAGUAGUC
Molecule: ribosomal RNA, 446 nt
Filed under: uncultured bacterium
Lineage: Bacteria
Description: partial 16S ribosomal RNA
Rfam family: Bacterial small subunit ribosomal RNA
Source: RNAcentral